UGGGGUUUAGCUCAGUGGUAGAGUGCUUGCUUAGCAUGUGUGAGGCACUGGGUUCGAUUCUCAGCACCACAU
This 72-nucleotide transfer RNA is filed under the name Urocitellus parryii (Arctic ground squirrel). RNAcentral's name for it is "Spermophilus parryii (Arctic ground squirrel) tRNA". It matches the Rfam family "tRNA". From Rfam's summary of the family: Transfer RNA (tRNA) molecules are approximately 80 nucleotides in length. Lineage: Eukaryota; Metazoa; Chordata; Mammalia; Rodentia; Sciuridae. RNAcentral also lists the same sequence under 1 other name. The record is from Rfam by way of RNAcentral.